Molecule: RNA transcript, 1191 nt
Organism: Magnolia sinica
Lineage: Eukaryota; Viridiplantae; Streptophyta; Magnoliopsida; Magnoliales; Magnoliaceae
Gene name: prefoldin subunit 1
Exons: 6
Source: RefSeq, a predicted model, not a curated record
UCACUGCACAAUCCGCUUCCUCCCGCUACACGCCCCCUAUAUAAGGGUUACUGUCCCCAAGCAGCAGCACCAGCGGCACCACUACCAGCAGAAAAAACAAUUUCAUCCAUUCUCUCAAAUGGCUGAUGAAGCGAACAAAACGGCAUUUCUAGAGCUACAGGGCCGCAUGAUAGAGACCACAGGAAAAUUGAAGCAGGUGCAAAAUCAGAUGCGCAAUAAAGAAGGAGAAAAGAAACGUGCCUUCCUAACAUUAGAGGAAUUGCGGCAGUUAGCAGACGACACAAAUACAUACAAAUCUAUUGGGAAAGCGUGAGUCCCAGAUCUCCCUCUCUGCGAUUGGAGCAACCCCACUGAAAGAGAUUCAAUCUAUUUUUAUUUUUUAAAAAAAUCAAUUUAAAUGGGACAAUUAUUCAUAAUUUGAUUAGAAUUUAUUUCUUUUCUUCAUGGCUAGGUUUGUUUUGGAGCCAAAAUCGGUCCUUGUGAAUGAGCAGGAGCAGAAGCUGAAGGAUAGUGAGGCUGCUAUAGCUUCAUUGCUGACAUCGAAAGAGUAUUUGGAGAAGCAAAUGACAGAGGUAGAGAACAAUCUUAGAGAGUUACUACAGCAAGAUCCAGGAAUCGCCCAUCAGAUAAUGUCCAUAUCGGAUAACAUUUCUGCUGGCACGUGACACGUGUAUGGUGGCGAGGACAGACCAUCUUGCAGGCAUCAGAUACAUACAAACCAAAAGAAACGUUGCACUGAGGACUGAUUGCUUGAGUUAUAUGAACGAAUGAUCUCCUACAACCAUAGCAUUCUAAGUUUGCCAUGCUACUGUAUUUUCCGCCCUUGAUCACAUGUAAGAAAAAACUGAGUCGUGCAAUCGGGGGGCCGCAUCAUGAUGAACACCUGGUGUGGAGACCAGGCCAAUCUACUCAUCAGGUCAGCCACCCCUCUGAUUUGGGUCAGUGCGUCAACCUGAAUGAGUAGAUCACCCGGAUUUUCACACCAAGUGAACUUCAUGAUGGAGGCCCCCCUUUUGCAUGACUGAGAAGUCUUACACGUGACAUGUUUGGCAGGCAAACCAUGUAGCGUGGUAAGCUUAGAAGCUUAGCGUGCUAUAACUAUGUGAUAUGGAAAACCAUCAACGUCCUAUAGAAAUGUAGAAAUGGACAGCUCUUAAUUCGAAAAUAAUUUUGCUGUUUGUUUGGAUUUUA